This 454-nucleotide long non-coding RNA is filed under the name Zonotrichia albicollis (white-throated sparrow). RNAcentral describes it as "lncRNA (ENSZALG00000013590.1)". The record is from RNAcentral. Lineage: Eukaryota; Metazoa; Chordata; Aves; Passeriformes; Passerellidae.
AUGCCUUUGUGACAUCCAGCUAAAUAUUAAGUUGUCCCAGAUUCUGCUCACUUUCCUUUUCUCCAUUCUACUUCUUUUUUUUUUUUUUUUUUUUUUUUUUCUUCCCAUCAAAGAUGGUGUUACAUCUCCUGAGUCAUCCUUUUCUGUGUUCUGGAAGUCUGGUCACAAGCCUGGAGCAGCUUUCACCACCUUAUCAGACAAAGUAGAGCAAUGGGAAGGUGUCAGAGCCAUUUCCAAGUGCUCACUGUCAUGGAAAGGAUUUGUCAGCCAUGGUGAAGAGCUUCAACCCAUCGGAUUCCGAGUCACGCAUGAUAACUUCACUGCAAGGAAACCACAAAGCAGGAAAAGAAUUGAUUUACAGAGAGAAGGAAACAGACCAGGAGGCAGAGUGGAAAGGACAAGAAGAGGACUAUCCCAUGUGUGUCAAAUUGCAUUCAUCAUAGGUCAUGAUUGA